Molecule: microRNA precursor, 105 nt
Filed under: Brassica napus (rape)
Lineage: Eukaryota; Viridiplantae; Streptophyta; Magnoliopsida; Brassicales; Brassicaceae
Also listed under: 1 other name
Description: miR390b stem-loop (bna-MIR390b)
Gene: bna-MIR390b
Rfam family: MIR390 microRNA precursor family
Source: miRBase by way of RNAcentral
GUAGAGAAGAAUCUGUAAAGCUCAGGAGGGAUAGCGCCAUCAUGAUCACACACAUCGAUAUUUUUGGCGCUGUCCAUCCUGAGUUUCAUUGGCUCUUCUUACUAC